GAUGAACGCUGGCGGCGUGCUUAACACAUGUAAGUCGAACGGUGAAGCAGAGCUUGCUCUGUGGAUCAGUGGCGAACGGGUGAGUAACACGUGAGCAACCUGCCCCUGACUCUGGGAUAAGCGCUGGAAACGGCGUCUAAUACUGGAUAUGAGCUGCGACCGCAUGGUCAGCAGUUGGAAAGAUUUUUCGGUCUGGGAUGGGCUCACGGCCUAUCAGCUUGUUGGUGAGGUAAUGGCUCACCAAGGCGUCGACGGGUAGCCGGCCUGAGAGGGUGACCGGCCACACUGGGACUGAGACACGGCCCAGACUCCUACGGGAGGCAGCAGUGGGGAAUAUUGCACAAUGGGCGAAAGCCUGAUGCAGCAACGCCGCGUGAGGGAUGACGGCCUUCGGGUUGUAAACCUCUUUUAGCAGGGAAGAAGCGAAAGUGACGGUACCUGCAGAAAAAGCGCCGGCUAACUACGUG
Molecule: ribosomal RNA, 467 nt
Filed under: uncultured bacterium
Lineage: Bacteria
Description: partial 16S ribosomal RNA
Rfam family: Bacterial small subunit ribosomal RNA
Source: RNAcentral